RNAcentral lists this ribosomal RNA (253 nucleotides) under uncultured bacterium. RNAcentral's name for it is "partial 16S ribosomal RNA". It matches the Rfam family "Bacterial small subunit ribosomal RNA", at positions 524 to 776 of the family's 1533-position model. The record is from RNAcentral.
UACGGAGGGUCCAAGCGUUAUCCGGAAUCAUUGGGUUUAAAGGGUCCGUAGGCGGUUUUGUAAGUCAGGGGUGAAAGCCCAUCGCUCAACGGUGGAACGGCCAUUGAUACUGCAAGACUUGAAUUAUUGGGAAGUAACUAGAAUAUGUAGUGUAGCGGUGAAAUGCUUAGAGAUUACAUGGAAUACCAAUUGCGAAGGCAGGUUACUACCAAUAUAUUGACGCUGAUGGACGAAAGCGUGGGGAGCGAACAGG